UUGAAUUUCGGGGUUCUACCGUUGGUCGGGCUUUGUCUGUACUGGCGUGUAGAAUUUCUACCUUGUGGGGAACCAUUAUGUUAUUAAUUUAGCGUGGUGGGAAACCAGGACCUUUACCUUGAAAAAUUAGAGUGUUCAAAGCAGGCUUAUGUCUGAAUACAUUAGCAUGGAAUAAUAGAAUAGGACGGUGGUCCUGUUUUGUUGGUUCCUGAAUCACCGUAAUGAUUAAUAGGGAUAGUUGGGGGCAUUAGUAUUCAAUUGUCAGAGGUGAAAUUCUUGGAUUUAUUGAAGACUAACUUCUGCGAAAGCAUUUGCCAAGGAUGUUUUCAUUAAUCAAGAACGAAAGUUAGGGGAUCGAAGACGAUCAGAUACCGUCGUAGUCUUAACCAUAAACUAUGCCGACUAGGGAUCGGACGAUGUUAACUUUUCUUGACUC
This 436-nucleotide ribosomal RNA is filed under the name fungal sp. RNAcentral describes it as "SSU rRNA". It matches the Rfam family "Eukaryotic small subunit ribosomal RNA", at positions 634 to 1077 of the family's 1831-position model. The record is from RNAcentral. Lineage: Eukaryota; Fungi.